Molecule: long non-coding RNA, 1592 nt
Organism: Hemicordylus capensis (graceful crag lizard)
Lineage: Eukaryota; Metazoa; Chordata; Lepidosauria; Squamata; Cordylidae
Exons: 3
Source: RefSeq, a predicted model, not a curated record
GCAGCUUGCAUAAGCCAGAGAACAAGGGGUCAGGCUUUAGACAACACAAGGCCGCUUUUUCACCUGAGGUUUCGGCGGUGGAACUGAAUUGCAACCUCAGGGCAAAAAGCGAACAUUUUUGUCUCCUUCAAGUGGGCAGGUUUGUUGCUGGAGGGAGGAGAGUGAGAGCGAGAGCGAGGGAGAGAGCACAAGCAAGCCAGUGGAUGGUGCUGACACAUUAAAAGUGGCAAGGAGGUCAGCAGGUGAAGCUGCCACUGCUGCAUACAAACUCUGUCCAUGUGGCCUCAGCAGCCAAGCAGUGAUGCACCCUGGUGUCAGGGACACUCUUGACUGAGGCCCCAGAAGAAAUGUAAAACCACCUGCUCCCUCAAUCUGGAGCCAGUGAAUCCUCUGUUGCUCAGCUCCAAUCCAUAUAGCUCCGUGGGACACUUGGCUGAGGGUACUCCCUCAGAAACUCAGUGCUACUGAAGAACCACCAGUACCACCACCAGAUCCCCAGAAGUGCCAUUGAUCCUACUGUGUUACAGCAAUGAUCAGGCCACAGACUAACACUGGAAGGAUCUUCUUGUGAGAUAGAGGGAUGGGAUCACCUUGGGAGAUUGACUGAACAGAGCACAGCUGUGAGGAAUCAGACCAAGUAAUAGCAAGAGAAGCAGAGUAUGUUGCCGCAGCUGAAGAAUUCAAGGAAGUGGUAUGGAUACACCAGCUACUAUUGAACUUUGGGAUCGAGGAACCAAAGCCCACAACAAUAUUUUAGGAUAACCAAAGUUGUAUCUCCCAGAUGGAGAAGAUGAAGUCUCGAACUAAGCACAUUCCCAUAAAGUUUCACUAUGUUCAAGAAAGGGAAGAAAAGGGGAUAGUCCAGUUAGAGUUCUGCCCAACAGAAGAGAUGAUGACAGAUGGACUGACAAAGCCAUUGCCUAGAGGCAGAUUCCAGAUGCUUUGUGAGAACAUGGGAAUCGUGAGCAGGCACAACAGGCGAUGCAAAGGGGUGUUGGAAAUGGAGUUCCAGUCCAUCAAACUUUUGCACUGACUAUCCUAAUGACCACUAGGGGCAUUGGGAGUAGAGGUAGUUAGUGAGGGUCUCCUUACCCAUCCCUUCUUGCCUCUACUUUAUGACCCCUGCCUUGACUCCUCAGGUACUUCCUGUGGUGAGUCAGUCCUCUUCUUUUCUUACUAGUGAGAAUGGGAACAAUCUAGAGAGGAGAGCUGGUCUUGUGGUAGCAAGCAUGACUUGUCCCCUUAGCUAAUCAGGGUCUGCCCUGGUUGCAUAUGAAUGGGAGACUUGAUGUGUGAGCAUUGUAAGAUAUUCCCCUCAGGGGACGGACCCGCUCUGGGAAGAGCAGAAGGUUCCAAGUUCCCUCCCUGGCUUCUCCAAGAUAGGGCUGAGAAAGGUUCCUGCCUGCAACCUUGGAGAAGCCGCUGCUAGUCUGUGAAGACAAUACUGAGCUAGGUCGACCAAUGGUCUGACUCAGUAUACAGUAGCUUCCUAUGUUCCUAUCUCUUUCUCUCCCUACCUAUUCAUUAUGUAGCCGAUAGAUAGAAUAGGUCUUUCCUAUUUCAAAUGUACUUCAUCAAUAAAUCAACUUAGU